Molecule: small RNA, 108 nt
Filed under: Oceanicoccus sagamiensis
Lineage: Bacteria; Pseudomonadati; Pseudomonadota; Gammaproteobacteria; Cellvibrionales; Spongiibacteraceae
Description: t44 RNA
Rfam family: t44 RNA
About the family: This family consists of a number of bacterial RNA genes of between 135 and 170 bases in length. The t44 gene is found between the map and rpsB genes in all species in the full alignment apart from Shigella flexneri.
Source: Rfam by way of RNAcentral
AAAACUAUUAACUAAAUCCGCACAUAUACCGUCACAUGGGUCAGGGUGCUCCCAACGGAUACUUGAAUCCGAACCGGAGUUGAUCGAUGGGGUAUAUGGAGGCCUAAC